CAUGGUUGUCGUCAGCUCGUGCCCGUGAGGUGUCGGCUUAAGUGCCAUAACGAAGCGCAACCCUUGUCGUUAGUUACCAUCAAGUAAUGUUGGGGACGUCUAGCGAGACUGCCACCGUAAGGUGUGAGGAAGGGGGGGAGUGACGUCAAAUCAGCACGGCCCUUACGUCCGGGGCGACACACGUGUUACAAUGGUAGGUACAGAGGGCAGCUACCCAGUGAUGGGGUGCGAAUCUCAAAAACCUAUCUCAGUUCGGAUUGGAGUCUGCAACUCGACUCCAUGAAGUUGGAUUCGCUAGUAAUCGCGCAUCAGCCAUGGCGCGGUGAAUACGUUCCCGGGCCUU
RNAcentral lists this ribosomal RNA (343 nucleotides) under uncultured Rikenellaceae bacterium. RNAcentral's name for it is "bacterial SSU rRNA". It matches the Rfam family "Bacterial small subunit ribosomal RNA", at positions 1044 to 1382 of the family's 1533-position model. Lineage: Bacteria; Pseudomonadati; Bacteroidota; Bacteroidia; Bacteroidales; Rikenellaceae. The record is from RNAcentral.